This 197-nucleotide long non-coding RNA is filed under the name Pan troglodytes (chimpanzee). RNAcentral describes it as "lncRNA (ENSPTRG00000053336.1)". The record is from RNAcentral. Lineage: Eukaryota; Metazoa; Chordata; Mammalia; Primates; Hominidae.
CUCACCUGCCGUGUUGUGUGGCCCAGUUCCUAACAGGCCAUGGACCAGCAGCAUUCUGCUGCCCAGGGUUUGGAGACCUCUAUUUUAGAGUGAUCUCAGGUGAUCUCUUGGGAGUGGGAGGAUCUCUUCCACUUUCUUCUGUGACUAAUGUCUCAUGCUGGCAAAGACAAUGUGACAUAAUAUUCAUUGUCACAGUG